RNAcentral lists this ribosomal RNA (120 nucleotides) under Rhodocollybia butyracea. Its description in RNAcentral is "partial 5.8S ribosomal RNA". It matches the Rfam family "5.8S ribosomal RNA", at positions 1 to 118 of the family's 154-position model. Rfam says of the family: 5.8S ribosomal RNA (5.8S rRNA) is a component of the large subunit of the eukaryotic ribosome. It is transcribed by RNA polymerase I as part of the 45S precursor that also contains 18S and 28S rRNA. The record is from RNAcentral. Lineage: Eukaryota; Fungi; Basidiomycota; Agaricomycetes; Agaricales; Omphalotaceae.
ACAACUUUCAGCAACGGAUCUCUUGGCUCUCCCAUCGAUGAAGAACGCAGCGAAAUGCGAUAAGUAAUGUGAAUUGCAGAAUUCAGUGAAUCAUCGAAUCUUUGAACGCACCUUGCGCCC